CCUACGGGAGGCAGCAGUGGGGAAUUUUGGACAAUGGGCGCAAGCCUGAUCCAGCAAUGCCGCGUGCGGGAAGAAGGCCUUCGGGUUGUAAACCGCUUUUGGCAGGAACGAAACGGUGUCCGCUAAUACCGGGCGCUAAUGACGGUACCUGCAGAAUAAGCACCGGCUAACUACGUGCCAGCAGCCGCGGUAAU
Molecule: ribosomal RNA, 194 nt
Filed under: uncultured bacterium
Lineage: Bacteria
Description: partial 16S ribosomal RNA
Rfam family: Bacterial small subunit ribosomal RNA
Source: RNAcentral